ACCAUGGGAGUGGGCUGCAAAAGAAGUGGGUAGUUUAACCUUAGGGAGGACGAGCACCACUUUGUGGUUCAUGACUGGGGUGAAGUCGUAAAAAGGUAGCCCUAGGGGAACCUGGGGCUGGAUCACCUCCUUAUACGAAGAUA
RNAcentral lists this ribosomal RNA (143 nucleotides) under Vibrio sp. HI00D65. RNAcentral's name for it is "partial 16S ribosomal RNA". It matches the Rfam family "Bacterial small subunit ribosomal RNA", at positions 1401 to 1533 of the family's 1533-position model. Lineage: Bacteria; Pseudomonadati; Pseudomonadota; Gammaproteobacteria; Vibrionales; Vibrionaceae. The record is from RNAcentral.